AUAAUGAUACUUCUGCGUAGUCACAGGCUGAGCGUUGAAGCGGGAUUUGUCCUCCCGUGAGCCGUCGCACCCAAUGAGCGCAGCGGGGCAGAAAGCCACCGGGGUGAGAGUCCCAUGA
Molecule: non-coding RNA, 118 nt
Filed under: unclassified sequences
Description: pemK RNA
Rfam family: pemK RNA
Source: RNAcentral